This 1026-nucleotide ribosomal RNA is filed under the name Escherichia coli. RNAcentral's name for it is "partial 23S ribosomal RNA". It matches the Rfam family "Bacterial large subunit ribosomal RNA", at positions 1917 to 2925 of the family's 2925-position model. The record is from RNAcentral. Lineage: Bacteria; Pseudomonadati; Pseudomonadota; Gammaproteobacteria; Enterobacterales; Enterobacteriaceae.
GCCCCGGUAAACGGCGGCCGUAACUAUAACGGUCCUAAGGUAGCGAAAUUCCUUGUCGGGUAAGUUCCGACCUGCACGAAUGGCGUAAUGAUGGCCAGGCUGUCUCCACCCGAGACUCAGUGAAAUUGAACUCGCUGUGAAGAUGCAGUGUACCCGCGGCAAGACGGAAAGACCCCGUGAACCUUUACUAUAGCUUGACACUGAACAUUGAGCCUUGAUGUGUAGGAUAGGUGGGAGGCUUUGAAGUGUGGACGCCAGUCUGCAUGGAGCCGACCUUGAAAUACCACCCUUUAAUGUUUGAUGUUCUAACGUUGGCCCGUAAUCCGGGUUGCGGACAGUGUCUGGUGGGUAGUUUGACUGGGGCGGUCUCCUCCUAAAGAGUAACGGAGGAGCACGAAGGUUGGCUAAUCCUGGUCGGACAUCAGGAGGUUAGUGCAAUGGCAUAAGCCAGCUUGACUGCGAGCGUGACGGCGCGAGCAGGUGCGAAAGCAGGUCAUAGUGAUCCGGUGGUUCUGAAUGGAAGGGCCAUCGCUCAACGGAUAAAAGGUACUCCGGGGAUAACAGGCUGAUACCGCCCAAGAGUUCAUAUCGACGGCGGUGUUUGGCACCUCGAUGUCGGCUCAUCACAUCCUGGGGCUGAAGUAGGUCCCAAGGGUAUGGCUGUUCGCCAUUUAAAGUGGUACGCGAGCUGGGUUUAGAACGUCGUGAGACAGUUCGGUCCCUAUCUGCCGUGGGCGCUGGAGAACUGAGGGGGGCUGCUCCUAGUACGAGAGGACCGGAGUGGACGCAUCACUGGUGUUCGGGUUGUCAUGCCAAUGGCACUGCCCGGUAGCUAAAUGCGGAAGAGAUAAGUGCUGAAAGCAUCUAAGCACGAAACUUGCCCCGAGAUGAGUUCUCCCUGACUCCUUGAGAGUCCUGAAGGAACGUUGAAGACGACGACGUUGAUAGGCCGGGUGUGUAAGCGCAGCGAUGCGUUGAGCUAACCGGUACUAAUGAACCGUGAGGCUUAACUUUACAACGCCGAAG